This 429-nucleotide ribosomal RNA is filed under the name Bacteroidota bacterium. Its description in RNAcentral is "Bacteroidetes bacterium partial 16S ribosomal RNA". It matches the Rfam family "Bacterial small subunit ribosomal RNA", at positions 355 to 776 of the family's 1533-position model. Lineage: Bacteria; Pseudomonadati; Bacteroidota. The record is from RNAcentral.
UAGGGAAUCUUCGGCAAUGGGGGGAACCCUGACCGAGCAACGCCGCGUGAGUGAAGAAGGUUUUCGGAUCGUAAAGCUCUGUUGUUAAGGAAGAACGAGUGUGAGAAUGGAAAGUUCAUGCUGUGACGGUACUUAACCAGAAAGGGACGGCUAACUACGUGCCAGCAGCCGCGGUAAUACGUAGGGCCCGAGCGUUGUCCGGAUUUAUUGGGCGUAAAGCGAGCGCAGGCGGUUAGAAAAGUCUGAAGUGAAAGGCAGUGGCUCAACCAUUGUAGGCUUUGGAAACUGUUUAACUUGAGUGCAGAAGGGGAGAGUGGAAUUCCAGGUGUAGCGGUGAAAUGCGUAGAUAUAUGGAGGAACACCGGUGGCGAAAGCGGCUCUCUGGUCUGUAACUGACGCUGAGGCUCGAAAGCGUGGGGAGCGAACAGG